AGCGAACGCUGGCGGCAGGCUUAACACAUGCAAGUCGAACGGGCGUAGCAAUACGUCAGUGGCAGACGGGUGAGUAACACGUGGGAACGUACCCUUUGGUUCGGAACAACACAGGGAAACUUGUGCUAAUACCGGAUAAGCCCUUACGGGGGAAAGAUUUAUCGCCGAAGGAUCGGCCCGCGUCUGAUUAGCUUGUUGGUGAGGUAAUGGCUCACCAAGGCGACGAUCAGUAGCUGGUCUGAGAGGAUGAUCAGCCACACUGGGACUGAGACACGGCCCAGACUCCUACGGGAGGCAGCAGUGGGGAAUAUUGGACAAUGGGCGCAAGCCUGAUCCAGCCACGCCGCGUGAGUGAUGAAGGCCCUAGGGUUGUAAAGCUCUUUUGGCGGGAAGAUAAUGACGGUACCGCAGAAUAAGCCCCGGCUAACUUCGUG
This 434-nucleotide ribosomal RNA is filed under the name uncultured bacterium. RNAcentral describes it as "bacterial SSU rRNA". It matches the Rfam family "Bacterial small subunit ribosomal RNA", at positions 29 to 507 of the family's 1533-position model. The record is from RNAcentral.